UUGACCUCGAAUCAGGUAGGAAUACCCGCUGAACUUAAGCAUAUCAAUAAGCGGAGGAAAAGAAACCAACCGGGAUUACCUCAGUAACGGCGAGUGAAGCGGCAAGGAAGU
Molecule: ribosomal RNA, 111 nt
Filed under: Erysiphe paeoniae
Lineage: Eukaryota; Fungi; Ascomycota; Leotiomycetes; Helotiales; Erysiphaceae
Description: partial 28S ribosomal RNA
Rfam family: Eukaryotic large subunit ribosomal RNA
Source: RNAcentral